RNAcentral lists this transfer RNA (73 nucleotides) under Canis lupus familiaris (dog). It matches the Rfam family "tRNA". Rfam says of the family: Transfer RNA (tRNA) molecules are approximately 80 nucleotides in length. Lineage: Eukaryota; Metazoa; Chordata; Mammalia; Carnivora; Canidae. The record is from Rfam by way of RNAcentral. RNAcentral also lists the same sequence under 1 other name.
UUCUGGCUGGCUCAGUUAGUAGAGCAUGGGACUCUUGAUCUCAGGGUUGUGAGUUCAAGUCCCAUGUUGGGUG